Molecule: long non-coding RNA, 484 nt
Filed under: Heterocephalus glaber (naked mole-rat)
Lineage: Eukaryota; Metazoa; Chordata; Mammalia; Rodentia; Bathyergidae
Description: lncRNA (ENSHGLG00100042898.1)
Source: RNAcentral
GGCAGCCCGGCUAAAGUUCCAGUGAGCCCUGCGUUGCCUCCCCCAGCCCUGGGCAGGGGCUGGACGGGGAGAGCCCAUGAGAGAGCAAGGAUUCCUAGCCGCCGCCCUGGGAACCCUGCCACGCGAGGCUGGGCUGGUGGCCGUCUCCACGCUUUCCGGAACAGACGCCGCUCACUUCCCGGCUCCCGACGAGCCCAGCGGCGGUGCGGUGGCCUGUCCCCGGCUGACUUCCAGGGGGCUUGGGCAGGAGUGAAGCGGCAGCGCCGUGAGCCGCCCCCAGGCUCGCUGAUGUCCCCCAGCGCUGCUGGCCUGGCCCACUGGGGUGGAUGGAAAGCUACUCCAGGGAGAAGUCGGAUUCUUAAAGGCCUGCUGGACGACAGGUACCCCGGACCCCACAGCCAGAUGCCUGCCAACCUGCAGAGGAGGUGGCAGUCUGCAGCCCCGGCACAGGGCUUCCUCCACCUGAGGCCACCCCUGCAGGCCG